GCCGUCAUAGCUCAGCUGGUAGAGCAUUUCCAUGGUAAGGAAAAGGUCCCCGGUUCGAUUCCGGGUGACGGCUCCA
This 76-nucleotide transfer RNA is filed under the name Candidatus Lloydbacteria bacterium RIFOXYC12_FULL_46_25. RNAcentral's name for it is "tRNA-Thr". It matches the Rfam family "tRNA". Rfam says of the family: Transfer RNA (tRNA) molecules are approximately 80 nucleotides in length. Their secondary structure includes four short double-helical elements and three loops (D, anti-codon, and T loops). The record is from RNAcentral. Lineage: Bacteria; Candidatus Lloydiibacteriota.